UGGGGAAUAUUGGACAAUGGGGGCAACCCUGAUCCAGCAAUGCCGCGUGAGUGAUGAAGGCCUUCGGGUUGUAAAGCUCUUUUGGCGGGGACGAUGAUGACGGUACCCGCAGAAUAAGCCCCGGCUAACUUCGUGCCAGCAGCCGCGGUAAUACGAAGGGGGCAAGCGUUGUUCGGAAUUACUGGGCGUAAAGGGCGCGUAGGCGGCUUACCAAGUCAGGCGUGAAAUUCCCGGGCUCAACCUGGGGGCUGCGCUUGAUACUGGUGAGCUUGAAUACGGGAGAGGAUAGUGGAAUUCCCAGUGUAGAGGUGAAAUUCGUAGAUAUUGGGAAGAACACCAGUGGCGAAGGCGGCUAUCUGGCCCGUUUUAUUUGACGCUGAGGCGCGAAAGCGUGGGGAAGCAAACA
This 406-nucleotide ribosomal RNA is filed under the name uncultured Rhodospirillales bacterium. RNAcentral describes it as "bacterial SSU rRNA". It matches the Rfam family "Bacterial small subunit ribosomal RNA", at positions 355 to 774 of the family's 1533-position model. Lineage: Bacteria; Pseudomonadati; Pseudomonadota; Alphaproteobacteria; Rhodospirillales. The record is from RNAcentral.